CUGAGGAGUCCUCUGACGGGGGCAUGACAGGCCCUUGCUGUGAUCCAGGAGGGCUCUUCUGAUGUUAUUUACCCGACUGCAGUCUCAGAGGUCGGGAGAACGGUCAGGCGCAAGAGGGAGAGUGUUAACGCUUCGCAUUAUCACCUUUGCUGAUUCCUGUCACAGAUUCUGGCUGGGCUGGCCUUCUGGGCCAGGUUCAAUCUUGGGCUCCUGGCCCAAUUGCUGCCGUUGAAAGAUCAGCAAGUCAUCACUGCGGUCGUGCUGAAAUGUAUUAUUCAUUGAAGUUCCUUAUCUUGCCCUUAUCACGGAGGAUCAAGGAGGAGGGAAGAAACAACUCUGCCUUUGGAUCUGCUGGCCACAGAAAGAGAUGUUAAAAAAAAAAGACUGCUUGUUCUGAUCUGCACUGCGGUCCUGAUCCCUGGCUCCUCUCUCACUGCAGUUUGCUGCCCACAACCCACCUCCUGG
Rhineura floridana is the source of this 465-nucleotide long non-coding RNA. RefSeq lists it as uncharacterized. The record is from RefSeq and is a predicted model, not a curated record. The transcript has 4 exons. NCBI's taxonomy places the organism in Eukaryota, Metazoa, Chordata, Lepidosauria, Squamata, Rhineuridae.